CAGAGGGGAGGUCAGCCCAUGGGGGACAAUCCAGAGAGCACAGAAUAAGGGCCAACAUGGGGAGGAGAGCCUGUGGCUCCUUAGGAGCUCACAGCUCCUUUGUUCGCUGCACGUCCUCACCAGCUGAGGAGGCGUCUGGUGGGAGUAGAGGGAAGACCGUGGCCUCGUGUGUGUCCUCACCAGCUGGGGAGGCUAGAGGGAAGACCGUGGCCUCGUGUGGGUCCUCACCAGCUGGGGAAGCGUCUGGUGGGAGUAGAGGGAAGAACGUCAGCCUCAUGGGUGGCGGCCUGGCUCUGCAGUCUCCGCCGUCGCUCAGGCAGCGUUCAGUUCAGGAUGGGCCAACAGUCGGGAAACCGUUUGGGGCUGUGAAGCUGAAAUGAGGAGGUCACCUGGGAGGCAGCCACCAGCGACCAGGACUCCUCGGGAGCAGAGGGAGCCACGGAGUGACCUGCAGCUCCCCAAGAUGACCCCGCAGAGCCCCAGACCCGUGUCCAACCUCGGCGUAGGCUCCCUCUGACUCGAAGAAGUGGGGUGGGCGUUCCUUGGACCAUGUGCUCACUCGCCCAUUCCCAUCGGCCGCUCUGUGUCCUCGGCACAGCGAUGCCAUGGGGCAGGUGGCCCCAGCUGCUCAUUGUGGUCCGGGUGCCAUUUGCAGGAUAUGAGGAGCCGAGUAGGUCACACAUACUUCCGCUCUG
This 695-nucleotide long non-coding RNA is filed under the name Equus caballus (horse). RNAcentral's name for it is "lncRNA (ENSECAG00000057774.1)". The record is from RNAcentral. Lineage: Eukaryota; Metazoa; Chordata; Mammalia; Perissodactyla; Equidae.